UGGGAAACCCAUACCACACUGAAUGCGCCUGAUCUCGUCUGAUCUCAGAAGCUAAGCAGGGUCGGGCCUGGUACGUGGCAGUCCCAA
This 87-nucleotide ribosomal RNA is filed under the name Nannospalax galili (Upper Galilee mountains blind mole rat). Lineage: Eukaryota; Metazoa; Chordata; Mammalia; Rodentia; Spalacidae. The record is from RNAcentral.